This is a long non-coding RNA of Bos taurus (domestic cattle), 491 nucleotides long. NCBI's taxonomy places the organism in Eukaryota, Metazoa, Chordata, Mammalia, Artiodactyla, Bovidae. The record is from Ensembl.
GUACAGUGGAUAGGAAUCCGGCUGCCAACGCAGGGAACGUGGGCUCAAUCUCUGGUCUGGGAAGAUCCCACAUACCUCGGAGCAAUGAAGCCCAUGUACCACAACUGCCGAGCCCACAUGCCCCCAAGCCUGUGCUCCGCAGGAAGAGAAGCCACUGCAGUGAGAAGCCCACACACUCAACGAAGAGAACCCGCUCACCGCAACUAGAGAAAGCCCUCGAGUGUCAAUGAAGACCCCAUGUAGCCAAUAAGAUGGUGGAGUAGCAGUUCUGUGGAUGAGAAUAUCAAGCAGGCAUUUUGAUGAUGCAGGUAAUGAAGCUGGUUGGAGAAAAUGGGAACUGCAUUGGAAAAUACCAAAUGAAUUCUUUUGUGUUCUCCUGUUCUAAUGCCUGGGUCAAAGCAACCCAAACCAACCGCAGUUCUGCAACACCAGCAUCAAGGUCAGUUGGGAGCUAACCCCCUGGGAAGUCCAGGGGCUGCUGCAUCAUUGAU